ACGAAGGGUGCAAGCGUUGUUCGGAUUUACUAGGCGUAAAGCGUCCGUAGGUGGUUUGUUAAGUCAGAGGUGAAAUCCCAGGGCCCAACCCUGGAACUGCCUUUGAUACUGGAUAGCUGGAGUACGGAAGAGGAAGAUAGAAUUUGUGGUGUAGGGGUAAAAUCCGUAGAGAUCAGAAGGAAUACCGAUUGCGAAGGCAGUCUACUGGAUCAUUAUUGACGCUGAGACGCGAAAGCGUGGGGAGCAAACAG
RNAcentral lists this ribosomal RNA (251 nucleotides) under uncultured prokaryote. Its description in RNAcentral is "partial 16S rRNA". It matches the Rfam family "Bacterial small subunit ribosomal RNA", at positions 525 to 775 of the family's 1533-position model. The record is from RNAcentral.